Molecule: small RNA, 19 nt
Filed under: Arabidopsis thaliana (thale cress)
Lineage: Eukaryota; Viridiplantae; Streptophyta; Magnoliopsida; Brassicales; Brassicaceae
Description: ATSL016910
Source: RNAcentral
CCAAAAAAACAACAAAAAU